UACGUAGGAUCCAAGCGUUAUCCGGAUUUACUGGGCGUAAAGAGUUGCGUAGGUGGCAGAGUAAGUUGGUAGUGAAAGCGUCUCGCUCAACGAGAUACACAUUAUCAAAACUGCUCCGCUUGAGGAUGAGAGAGGUUAUUGGAAUUCCAAGUGUAGGAGUGAAAUCCGUAGAUAUUUGGAGGAACACCGAUGGCGUAGGCAGAUAACUGGCUCAUUCCUGACACUAAGGCACGAAAGCGUGGGGAGCGAACGGG
Molecule: unclassified non-coding RNA, 254 nt
Filed under: uncultured Patescibacteria group bacterium
Lineage: Bacteria
Description: contains 16S-23S intergenic spacer region
Rfam family: Bacterial small subunit ribosomal RNA
Source: RNAcentral